CUUGGCACAGCUACCAGAAGACUUCUGAAAACUUUGUUUUGGAAGAAACAAAGCUCUUAUUGUGAAAGUCUGCUUCCUGACAGGUGGAGCUGUGACGCAUCAGGAAACAACUCACCUGAGUUGUUCUGCGUCGACAUUUUGGACUGUUUGAGGAAACUCCCUUCCUGCCUGCUUCCUGACAGGUGGAGCUGUGACUCAUUCCAGGAAACAGCUCACCUGUGUCAGAGAUUUCUCUCUAGGUGGAGAGUGACCCGAUUCUUCAUCAACUCUUCUUCAUCAACUCUUCUUCAUCAACUCUUUGGACUGUUUGAAGAAACUAAAACAAACGGUCGUCUCCAUCAGAGUAAAGUGAGACACAACACAACUCUACUGUUUCUGAUAAAAGGUUCAAGGUUCGGCUUUAUUGUCAUUAUACAACAGAAUUGUCCAAUGAAAUGCAAUCGUCAUUUACAGCUGGCUCUGAUGAAUUUAAGUUACCAACCGGGCUGCCUCUGUGGACUUUGGGCUAAAAUAUCGGAAAGA
This is a long non-coding RNA of Perca fluviatilis (European perch), 522 nucleotides long. RefSeq lists it as uncharacterized. The transcript has 3 exons. NCBI's taxonomy places the organism in Eukaryota, Metazoa, Chordata, Actinopteri, Perciformes, Percidae. The record is from RefSeq and is a predicted model, not a curated record.